Molecule: long non-coding RNA, 336 nt
Filed under: Vigna radiata
Lineage: Eukaryota; Viridiplantae; Streptophyta; Magnoliopsida; Fabales; Fabaceae
Description: long non-coding RNA (VRAD_LNC002813)
Source: RNAcentral
GAGGCUAAAGAUCAGGUAAAGGAAAAGCAAACUUCCGAGAAUGUUCUCGGUGCAUAAGACUACAUCGCAGCAACACACUGUCAAUGAGAGUGAAGGAGAAAGUGAUUAUAAGAUUAUAGGACUAACUAACUUCUCUGGCGACAGGAGGAGCUCGUCGACACCACUUUGUUGACGGCAUCACGGGACUUCUUAAGUAGUAGAAAGACCUCAUUUUGAACCACUAUGAAGGCAGCAUUGAUCUUGAUGAACAAGUUGUUGUAUACAUCACUGAGAAAGUCUCUACUUGACUAACAACGAUGUCAUGUGCCACGCCAUCAUGAAAGAAGAAUGGUGGCC